Molecule: long non-coding RNA, 413 nt
Organism: Paramormyrops kingsleyae
Lineage: Eukaryota; Metazoa; Chordata; Actinopteri; Osteoglossiformes; Mormyridae
Source: RefSeq, a predicted model, not a curated record
CCCUGCCCAGGGUGUACCCCAGCCCUGUGCCCUGCGAUAGACUGGCACCCCGCCCAGGGUGUACCCCAGCCUUCUGCCCUAUGCUGCCUGGGAUGAGUUCCGAGCUGCACUGAACCUGACUGGUUGGAAGGUGGACAAAUGGAGUACAGCAGUGGUUGACAUAAUGAAGAGCAGGCAGCUCUAUCGUCUGUCAGCACGUUCCCCGUGACGCUGUCUGCUGGGACCAGCUGCCUGCCCUCUCUUCUCAAGCCUGCUAUGGUAUCACAAUGUGCCUACAACACAGGGAGGGCAUGCAAACUCUGCACGCAAGGACUCCAACACUUAUCCCUGAGUGUGUGUCCCACCAAGGGAAGCUGUCACUGCAGGCAUGAGGCACGGCUGUACACUCAGCUCCAAAGGGCCACCACAUCCAC